RNAcentral lists this ribosomal RNA (497 nucleotides) under uncultured bacterium. RNAcentral describes it as "partial 16S ribosomal RNA". It matches the Rfam family "Bacterial small subunit ribosomal RNA", at positions 28 to 507 of the family's 1533-position model. The record is from RNAcentral.
GAUGAACGCUGGCGGCGUGCCUAAUACAUGCAAGUCGAGCGAACAGACGAGGAGCUUGCUCCUCUGACGUUAGCGGCGGACGGGUGAGUAACACGUGGAUAACCUACCUAUAAGACUGGGAUAACUUCGGGAAACCGGAGCUAAUACCGGAUAAUAUAUUGAACCGCAUGGUUCGAUAGAGAAAGACGGUUUUGCUGUCACGUCUAGAUGGAUCCGCGCCGCAUUAGCUAGUUGGUAAGGUAACGGCUUACCAAGGCAAGGCUGCGUAACCGACGUGACAGGGUGAUCGGCCACACUGGAACUGGGCCACGGUCCAUACUCCUACGGGAGGCAGCAGUAGGGAAUCUGCCGCAAUGGGCGAAAGCAUUGCGGAGCAACGCCGCGUGAGUUAUGAAGGUCUUCGGAUCGUAAAACUCUGUUAUUAGGUAAGAACAAAUGUGGAAGUAACUAUGCACGUCUUGACGGUACCUAAUCAGAAAGCCACGGCUAACUACGUG